AACUGGAGGACAAGGACUGGGGUGAUGUGGCUGAUCUGAUCAGGGAAUACUACAAGGAUGUCUACGGGGUGGAGGUGACCCUGCAAGUUCUAGACAACAUCAAUGAAAGUGGACAGAUUUGUACGGCUGAAUGACCUGGAGGAGUCGAGAUGUUUAGCCCCAAAAGGCAGGCCAAUGAUGCUCGGCCUGAGUGACAGCGGGGAGAUGAUGUGCUCCGUCACGCUGGAGACAUUUUAUCCUGGAUAUCUCCAUAUUGAAUGGAAGUGUAGACGAGAGACGUCAACAGAGGUUUUAUCAUCCCAAGAGGUCUACAGAGAAAGUCCUGAUGGAAGAUCAUUCUCAGCGAGUAGUGAGGUCAGAAUUUCCCAGGAUCUCCUCAGAUGUCCAGAAUCCACAGUACACGUCAGCUGGGAACACGAAUAUACAAGCACCAAGGGGCAGCAAACCUUCUCAAUCAGGGAUCAAGAUUUCCUUUGGAGGCCAGCAGUCGAUGAGAUACAGACACCACAGCGUUUAUACCAUGAAAUCCCCGCUGUCCUACAGUGCCACAUAUCAGGAUAUUACCCGGACGCCGUCACUGUGAAGUGGUUCAGGAAAAAUAAUCGUAAUCUUGAGUUAUGUGAAGAGUCUGAUGAGGUGUCAGUUCCAAAAAUCAGAUCAAGUAAAAACCCUGACAACACCUACAGCUGUACAGCAAGGCUAAUGAUGACGCCUAGACUGAGAAACCACCAGGGGGCAGAAUACAUUUGCCGAGUAGAACAUCCUUCUCUGGAAAAGGCAAUCCAGAAAAGCUCAGGAGAAAUCAAACUGCUGGCAAAACCUCAGCCGGAGCCCAUAGUGAAGACGCUUCUGGAUAACAUGUCAGUGCAGUUCUCCUUGCAUCUUAAGAACUUUUACCCUAAAGACAUCAAAGUGAAGUGGCAUCGGGGGGAGACACAGGUCAGAAAAGGGGUGAAGGAGGGGUUCAGACAGAGAGAUGUGUUCACAGAACGUGAAGAUUCCUUGUUUGAUGUCGUCAGUGAAAGUCGUUUUCUGGGAUUGUGCUUUAGAGAUCCCCAGUAUAAAGCGUAUGUAACCUGGGAGCACGAAACGAUGGACGGACCUGAGACCAUGACGUUGUCUGUGAGAGAUCUGCCCUGGAGGCCAAAGAUGGCUGAAAUAUUUGUCUUUAGGUUGAGCGAUAAUGUGAGAACCAGGAUGUCAUGCUGCAUUUCUGACUAUUUCCCAGAUAAACUGACCGUGUCCUGGUAUAAGAAGCAAGAUGGAGCAGUGUCUGCAGUGCAGGAGUCCAAGGACAUCUUCACAGAGGUUUCUCCACAUGAAAAUAAAAACAAGACAUUCGGCUGUGCAGCAAUUUUAUAUUUUACUCCAGAUGCGGAGAAGGACGAAGGGUCAGAAUUUAUCUGUAGGGUGGAGCAUCACAGCCUCGAGCAUCCGAUAGAGAGAAGCACUGGACCCCUCCAUAUAUUCAGGCCUGGUGAUUAAAAACCUGGAUUCCAGCGACAUUACUGUGAUGAACGCCAUUGCUUCUCCUUAACGAGGAGCCGUCGCCUCUCUCCGGACACGGCUCUUUUAGGAAUUACCUGUAUUCUAUGUGAAAAACCAUUCUGGAGCAUCGAGCCUCAGAUCUCUGAGCCAUUCUUGUGUUAUUUCUCCAAAUAAUGUAUGAAUAGAUCACAUACUGGAGCUACCAGAGUUCUCGGAAAAGAUGUCCCCAAAUUAUUAUUUCAUGGAAAAUAAAAGUUUUUACUGACA
This is a non-coding RNA of Bufo bufo (common toad), 1755 nucleotides long. NCBI's taxonomy places the organism in Eukaryota, Metazoa, Chordata, Amphibia, Anura, Bufonidae. The record is from the annotation of a RefSeq genome assembly.